This 292-nucleotide ribosomal RNA is filed under the name uncultured bacterium. Its description in RNAcentral is "partial 16S ribosomal RNA". It matches the Rfam family "Bacterial small subunit ribosomal RNA", at positions 505 to 796 of the family's 1533-position model. The record is from RNAcentral.
GUGUCAGCAGCCGCGGUAAUACGGAGGAUGCAAGCGUUGUCCGGAUUCAUUGGGUUUAAAGGGUGCGUAGGCGGAGAAUUAAGUCAGUGGUGAAAGCUCGCAGCUUAACUGUGAAAAUGCCAUUGAAACUGAUUUUCUUGAGUUCGAUUGAGGUAGAUGGAAUGUAUCAUGUAGCGGUGAAAUGCUUAGAUAUGAUACAGAACACCAAUUGCGAAGGCAGUCUACUAAGUCGAUACUGACGCUGAGGCACGAAAGCAUGGGGAGCAAACAGGAUUAGAAACCCCAGUAGUCC